This is an RNA transcript of Halichondria panicea, 1899 nucleotides long. RefSeq lists it as uncharacterized. The transcript has 5 exons. Lineage: Eukaryota; Metazoa; Porifera; Demospongiae; Suberitida; Halichondriidae. The record is from RefSeq and is a predicted model, not a curated record.
UUACCAGCUAGUUCUGUGUGGGCCACAGCUGCUGUGUGCUGGGCGUAGAGAAGAUUAUUGAAUGUCUCCUCUCAAUGUCUCUCUGCUGGUUCUGGCAUUCUGUUUGCUGCUUCAGUGUGGAGAUAUCAAGCCCAAUCCAAGACCAACAAAUCCAGGUUAUGAAGCAAUGGUUGACUGUGGACAAGAAAUUGUCAGGUCCCUAUCUACAGAUCCAACAGGAUUUACUGUCUCUUUUGUUAGUAAGCGAUUGGUAUCUCCUAUUAUGCUCAGAGAGACAAAUGAGCUGAAUGAAACGAAAACUAAAAAAGCAAGCAGACUGCACACCGAAGUGUUAGAAAAAGUGGAGCAAUAUCCUGAAAAAUACAACGAAUUUGUUGAUACACUCAAAGAGAAGAAAGAAUGUGACACUGUUCUAAAACUUGGCCUCAAAUACACUCUUCACGUAGAGGAAGAUGCCAAACGUAGAGAAGUUAUUACCCAAGAAAGCGAAAAUGGUGGUGCUAUUGUUAGAAGUGAUUCUCUUGCAACAUCAGACUUUAGCUCUCCACCCACCAGCCCAAUGUCUAUGUCAUGGAGUUCUGCUUCUUCACCGUCUUCCUCGCUAACCGGGGGAAGUAUGAAGCCUGUUAAUGAAGGAGCAUUGAAUGCUCUUCGCAGUGCUAACUUAGUUGGUAUGAGGCACCGAGGCACCAUUUCUCUGUGUUCAUCACAAAUGUUAAGAAGGGAUUAUCUACCAGUGAUGUUGAAGGAUAUAAAAGUACAUUGAAAAUUUAUUAUACAAAUAUGCCUGUGCUUGGAGAUAUUGAGAGUAUUAUUACUUACUUGGUAAACAAGAACUAUUGGAACUAUUUGAAUUGUGAGCACCUUUUCUUGGUGAUUGAUACGUAUGGAAAUGAUGCCUUAACAAAAGAGAAAAAAGAGUUUGAACAGAGGAUUAAAUCAUAUGCUGUUGCUACUAAACUUCAAGAGUAUUUAUCAGGAAGAAGAGAUUUACUUUCUUAUAAAAAAGAGGCUAGAGGUCGAUCAAGUAACAAACACAGAAGAAGCAGCUCGGAGUAUCGUGGCCAGUUAUCUAUGAAAUUGGAGAUAGAUUAAGUCAUUAAACGACAUUGAAAAGUUGUGGUCAAGAUUAUUAGAUGUUGGUUUACCCAAGAUUGGAGUAGUUCUGCAUGGACAGUAUCAUUGCUGGGUGUAUCCAUAUCAUUUGGACCAUAUUUCUUCCAAGCAUUGCAAUGGAUUUUCGAAAAAAGGCUACGCAGCCGAGUUGGAGCAGCCGAGUUUUUAAGAAUAAUAAAAUUGUUCAAGUGAUCCUAAAUAAGUAUGCCUGACCCUGAGGCAGUGAAGCCUUCACUCUCCACCACUGAGCAGACGCCUCAAGCAAGCACUGAACAGAAAUCAGAGGCCAAGAAAUCCCCCAAAGUAUCCUAUUUUGUUAUACGUAGCUUCACUUUCAUCUUGUUAUGCAGGACAUUGAAAAAGAAGCAAAGAUUAUUGAGCUCUUACUGAGGGGAUUUGCUAAUAGAAUGGACAAUCCAUCUAGCAAUAAAUAUCGAUAUGAAGAGACCAACAUCGCUGAUGUCAUUGGAGGGAAAGGAGUGAAAUCAUCUGAAGAAAUUACUCACAAACUAGCAAAAGUGGCUAUACCUGUUAUCGAGAUAAGAGGGACUUCAUUCGUGUAGACCCUGAUGACAAACUCUAUGUAUAGUUUAAAUUGUUCUGUGACGAGUUACUAACUCUAUAAUUACUGACUGUAUAGUUAGCGUCCUUUUCAUAUGUAGAUCUCAAUAGCAUUUUAAUAGCUGCAGUAAUUUAAUGUGCCAAUAAUUUAAUUAAAGUAGAUUAUUGUUCUUCUUGUGUGAUGUUUUUAUCUUUAUAAGUUUAUUCAUAAUUAUAAUCUUG